AGCAGCCGCGGUAAUUCCAGCUCCAAUAGCGUAUAUUAAAGUUGUUGCAGUUAAAAAGCUCGUAGUUGAAUUUCGGGAUCAGUUGGUCGGUCGUGCCUCGGUACGUACUGGUCAAAUUGAUUCCUACCUUCUGACGAACCACGAUGUCAUUAAUUUGGUGUCGCGGGAAAUCAGGACUGUUACUUUGAAAAAUUAGAGUGUUUAAAGCAGGCUCGCGCUUGAAUACAUUAGCAUGGAAUAAUGAAAUAGGACGUUUGAUUCUAUUUUGUUGGUUUCUAGGAUCGACGUAAUGAUUAAUAGGGAUAGUUGGGGGCAUUAGUAUUCAAUUGUCAGAGGUGAAAUUCUUGGAUUUAUUGAAGACUAACUACUGCGAAAGCAUUUGCCAAGGAUGUUUUCAUUAAUCAAGAACGAAGGUUAGGGGAUCGAAGACGAUCAGAUACCGUCGUAGUCUUAACCAUAAACUAUGCCGACUAGGGAUCGGAUGAUGUUAAUUUUUAAUGUACUCAUUCGGCGCCUUACG
RNAcentral lists this ribosomal RNA (520 nucleotides) under uncultured Glomus. RNAcentral describes it as "SSU rRNA". It matches the Rfam family "Eukaryotic small subunit ribosomal RNA", at positions 569 to 1092 of the family's 1831-position model. The record is from RNAcentral. Lineage: Eukaryota; Fungi; Glomeromycota; Glomeromycetes; Glomerales; Glomeraceae.